RNAcentral lists this ribosomal RNA (468 nucleotides) under uncultured bacterium. RNAcentral's name for it is "partial 16S ribosomal RNA". It matches the Rfam family "Bacterial small subunit ribosomal RNA", at positions 28 to 507 of the family's 1533-position model. The record is from RNAcentral.
GACGAACGCUGGCGGCGUGCUUAACACAUGCAAGUCGAACGGAAAGGCCCUGCUUUUGUGGGGUGCUCGAGUGGCGAACGGGUGAGUAACACGUGAGUAACCUGCCCUUGACUUUGGGAUAACUUCAGGAGACUGGGGCUAAUACCGGAUAGGAGCUCCUGCUGCAUGGUGGGGGUUGGAAAGUUUCGGCGGUUGGGGAUGGACUCGCGGCUUAUCAGCUUGUUGGUGGGGUAGUGGCUUACCAAGGCUUUGACGGGUAGCCGGCCUGAGAGGGUGACCGGCCACAUUGGGACUGAGAUACGGCCCAGACUCCUACGGGAGGCAGCAGUGGGGAAUAUUGCACAAUGGGCGGAAGCCUGAUGCAGCAACGCCGCGUGCGGGAUGACGGCCUUCGGGUUGUAAACCGCUUUCGCCUGCGACGAAGCGUGAGUGACGGUAAUGGGUAAAGAAGCACCGGCUAACUACGUG